CCAAUAGCGUAUAUUAAAGUUGUUGCAGUUAAAAAGCUCGUAGUUGAAUUUCGGGAUCAAUAUAUUGGUCAUGCUUAGGUAUGUACUGGUAUUAUUGAUUUCUCCCUUCUGAAGAACCAUGAUGUCAUUUAUUUGAUGUCGUGGGGAAUCGGGACUGUUACUUUGAAAAAAUUAGAGUGUUUAAAGCAGGCUUUCGCUUGAAUACAUUAGCAUGGAAUAAUGAAAUAGGACGUUUGAUUCUAUUUUGUUGGUUUCUAGGAUCGACGUAAUGAUUAAUAGGGAUAGUUGGGGGCAUUAGUAUUCAAUUGUCAGAGGUGAAAUUCUUGGAUUUAUUGAAGACUAACUACUGCGAAAGCAUUUGCCAAGGAUGUUUUCAUUAAUCAAGAACGAAAGUUAGGGGAUCGAAGACGAUCAGAUACCGUCGUAGUCUUAACCAUAAACUAUGCCGACUAGGGAUCGGAUGAUGUUAAUUUUUUAAUGACUCAUUCGGCGCCUUACG
Molecule: ribosomal RNA, 499 nt
Filed under: uncultured Glomeromycotina
Lineage: Eukaryota; Fungi; Glomeromycota
Description: partial small subunit ribosomal RNA
Rfam family: Eukaryotic small subunit ribosomal RNA
Source: RNAcentral